Molecule: long non-coding RNA, 2215 nt
Organism: Papaver somniferum (opium poppy)
Lineage: Eukaryota; Viridiplantae; Streptophyta; Magnoliopsida; Ranunculales; Papaveraceae
Exons: 9
Source: RefSeq, a predicted model, not a curated record
CAAAAUUCAAAGAGUAGAAAGGCAAUACGUGUUUCUAAGAACUCUCUCUCACCCCUAUUUCUCCUCGCUGAAAACACUUCAACCAGAUUUCUCUAAUUUCUGUUUGACUCCUCGAUCUCAUUAGUUUCAUGGGGCUCGGUUGUUAUUAUUUUCACAUACAAUCCUUCUCGGAAGAUAAUCUAGAUAAACAUUGUUCGUUUCGAAUCUUAGUUUUUCAAUUUCUUAUAUGACAUCUACGGUUUUUGAUUAGUUGUUAUUUUGAAUUAUCGAGUUCCUCUUGGGUAAUAUUUUUGAUUUCUAGGGCAUUGGAUUUAGCCGUUUAGGAAAAAUUAGUGUUUUCUUCAAAUGUGGGGUUUUCUGGGUUUAGCAAAUUCUAGGGUUUUUUACUCUUCCGUAUCGGUCAACAACUGUUACUGGAGGUGAUGUCACCCCUCCACCAUCUGCAACUGUAACUGCAACAUCAACCCCACUUCCGUUUAAUUCCCGCCGAAGUAACUCAGUUCAUAUUUUUUUAAUACAGAAGGAAAUGGCAAUUCAAUGAUGCAAGGAGUUUCAAUCGAGGUAUCAGAAGCCUUUAUCAGAAGAAACAGAAGUUCCAGGACAAUUUUUAUAUGGUCGACAAAUGCAUGAAUAAGUUGCCGGUCCCUUUCAAGCAUUUAACAACCAAUGUUUAGUUCUCAAUGGAUAACUUCUCGAGCACGGGGAGUGUUUUGGAUUCAGAGAGUAGCAAAAAUAGCGGCCAUUCUCUGUACGACACACUAAGUUGAAUGAGCAUUCAAUCAAAUGGCUGGGGUUUUGAAUACGCUCUUAGUCGCGAGUGAAUUGACUGAGCUUGGCACACUUGCAGAGAUCGGCUGUGUACGCUGAUAAAGCGUCUUGAACACCUUUAAAUGGACAAGAAUCUGCAGUUGGUGUGCUAUCAUUGAGGGUAACAUGGGAAGUGAGUAUCAGGGAAAAGAAAAGUUUCUCAAAGUUGUUGAUGCUUCAUCUCCUGAUACGUGGGGUCAGAUGUAAUUGUAAGUACCCAUAUCUUCUCACUAUGUUAUUGAUUGAUUUCUGUUCCAGAAGUUACAUCACUAUGCUCCAAAGUGCUCAUCAAUGGAGCACUUUGGCUUUAACUUUCUCUUUGUACUCCCGUUUGCUUCAUAUUUGGACCUAGCUAUACGUUGGGGUGGAGGGAUCGGGUCUAUUGGGAAGUGCAGGUUGGUCUCUGCUUAAUCUUCAUAAUUGUUGCAGUUGCGGAGGGGUUCCUUGAGGGUGAUCAUGAAUAUACUGAUGUGGUCAUUCACUGCAAAUUCUGCAAUACUGGAGUAUCUGAACGCUCCAUCAUUGAUAUUGACUUCCGCAACCACUUCGAAAUAGCUCCAGCAGUUAAGUUUUAUGACAGAUGCAUUAGGGAAGUUUUUCUGGGGGUAUUUUUUACAUUGCACAGGACUGUUGGCUACCUUUCUUAGAUUUGACCACCGCAGUCAGAACUUCAGGUGAAUUUGUUUUUCUUUUUACUGGGAGGGGUACAUUGUGCAUUAAGGUGUGCGUUCAAUGGUCGAAUAUGUGUAGCAUAAUGUGUGGGGGCAUAUGCCUAUGAACAUAGGUUUAGCAUGUAUUAGUGUUUCUGUUCCUAAUGUGACCAUCUUCACAAGACUGCACAUAUUUUUUGAUUCUGUAUCGCAGCUUCUUCCCUGCUCAUUUGCAGUACUUCCAUGUAAACUAUUGAGCCUACCUGACAACAAAAGUGAUUAAAGACAAGUCUCACUUUGUUGAAGCCUAAGUUUUUUUAUCUGUAAGCUUAGCUCAGUAAACUCUGGAAGUCUUAACACAUAUUGUGCAAUUGUUGAGCUCCCAUUUUGUUUCCCACUUAAUUGGUGAUGCUCAAAAGUAAGUUUGAGCCCACAACAGAGAAAUAUUAUUAGUACACCUUAAGGGAUUUUUUGGGUGCUCAAAAAUAUACAUGGUUUAGGUAGUUCAUUGAUAAGGAUGUCUAUUGUGAAUGGUGAUCAUGCUACAAUUAUUUUCAAAAAAGUAAAUGGAACUAUUAACAACACAUCUAUGUGUAUUUGCAACUCCUCUAUUUGCUGUCUUAGCUCAAAUGGCAGAGCUCAUGGUUUUCACCGAUGUGGUUGUGGGUUCGACUCCGGCAGAUGGCAUAGUUAUCCAGUAAGCCAAAACCUUUUAUGCUUUAGAUCCCAACACAUAAUGCGAAAUUCAGUAAGCCAAU